RNAcentral lists this ribosomal RNA (468 nucleotides) under uncultured bacterium. Its description in RNAcentral is "partial 16S ribosomal RNA". It matches the Rfam family "Bacterial small subunit ribosomal RNA", at positions 28 to 507 of the family's 1533-position model. The record is from RNAcentral.
GACGAACGCUGGCGGCGUGCUUAACACAUGCAAGUCGGACGGAAAGGCCCUGCUUUUGUGGGGUGCUCGAGUGGCGAACGGGUGAGUAACACGUGAGUAACCUGCCCUUGACUUUGGGAUAACUUCAGGAAACUGGGGCUAAUACCGGAUAGGAGCUCCUGCUGCAUGGUGGGGGUUGGAAAGUUUCGGCGGUUGGGGAUGGACCCGCGGCUUAUCAGCUUGUUGGUGGGGUAGUGGCUUACCAAGGCUUUGACGGGUAGCCGGCCUGAGAGGGUGACCGGCCACAUUGGGACUGAGAUACGGCCCAGACUCCUACGGGAGGCAGCAGUGGGGAAUAUUGCACAAUGGGCGGAAGCCUGAUGCAGCAACGCCGCGUGCGGGAUGACGGCCUUCGGGUUGUAAACCGCUUUCGCCUGUGACGAAGCGUGAGUGACGGUAAUGGGUAAAGAAGCACCAGCUAACUACGUG